AGAGUUUGAUCAUGGCUCAGAACGAACGCUGGCGGCGUGCUUAAUACAUGCAAGUCGAACGAGAAAGCCUGGCUUCGGUCGGGCGAGUAAAGUGGCGAACGGGUGGGUAACACGUGGACAAUCUGCCCCUGAAUCUGGGAUAAUCUUCCGAAAGGAGGUCUAAUACCGGAUAAUAUCAUUGGAGGGCAUCCUCUGGUGAUCAAAGGCGGGGUAACCUGCCGUUUAGGGAUGAGUCCGCGCCCCAUUAGCUUGUUGGUAGGGUAAUGGCCUACCAAGGCUUCGAUGGGUAGCCGGCCUGAGAGGGCGAUCGGCCACACUGGGACUGAGAUACGGCCCAGACUCCUACGGGAGGCAGCAGUAGGGAAUAUUGCGCAAUGGACGCAAGUCUGACGCAGCAACGCCGCGUGGGUGAUGAAGCAUUUCGGUGUGUAAAACCCUGUCAGCGGGGAAGAAACGUAAGGACAGUAACUGGUCUUUACCUGACGGUACCCGCAGAGGAAGUCCCGGCUAACUCCGUGCCAGCAGCCGCGGUAAUACGGGGGGGACAAGCGUUGUUCGGAUUUACUGGGCGUAAAGGGCGCGUAGGCGGACCUACAAGUCGGAAGUGAAAUCUGGCAGCUUAACUGCCAGCCUGCUUACGAUACUGUUGGUCUUGAGUACAGGAGAGGAAAGCGGAAUUCCAGGUGUAGCGGUGAAAUGCGUAGAUAUCUGGAAGAACACNGGUAGCGAAGGCGGCUUUCUGGACUGAUACUGACGCUAAAGCGCGAAGGNUAGGGUANCAAACAGGAUUAGAUACCNUGNAGUCCUAGCGNNAAACGANGGGUACUAGGNNGUCGGGGGUAUCNACCCCNUCGGUGCC
This 859-nucleotide ribosomal RNA is filed under the name uncultured bacterium. RNAcentral describes it as "bacterial SSU rRNA". It matches the Rfam family "Bacterial small subunit ribosomal RNA", at positions 8 to 847 of the family's 1533-position model. The record is from RNAcentral.